RNAcentral lists this ribosomal RNA (180 nucleotides) under uncultured Glomeromycotina. RNAcentral describes it as "partial small subunit ribosomal RNA". Lineage: Eukaryota; Fungi; Glomeromycota. The record is from RNAcentral.
AACCUGGUUGGGUGGUCUGCCUUCACGGUACGUACUGCUUGGCCGGGUUCUACCUCUUGGUGAGCCGGCAUGCCCUUCACUGGGUGUGUCGGGGAACCAGGACUUUUACCUUGAAAAAAUUAGAGUGUUCAAAGCAGGCCUACGCUCGGAUACAUUAGCAUGGAAUAAUGGAAUAGGACG